AAUGCACCCUUAACUUCUUCUCCUUUGUUCGUCUCCUCUCACUGAGUCUGCCUUUGUCUUCACUCAUCGCUGUUCUGUUUUUUAACUUUUCAGCAUUUUCUGCUACAUCUGACCGGUCUUCCAUUAUUUCUGUCUUUCUAUCCUCGCACUCCCAAACCUUUGGCCUCGUCCUAUGAAGGCCACUGGGCUGGCUGCAGGUGAGUAGGCGAGAAUGGGGUAAGUUGAGAAUUUGAUUACAUUCAGCAUCAUGAUGUCAAGGGAAAUAUAGUAUUCUUUCUAUCAAAGAUAUCUACAUAUAUUUAAGGUGUAGCCCUGGAAAUAAUUAGAUUUCAUGUAAACAAUACGGUAUGGGGUAAGUAGAGCCCGGGACAGGGUAAGUUAACCCGCCUACAAAUGUCUGUACUGAAUGAAAUACAACCACUAACUUAUUAAAACCAUUUCUAUCUUUAUUCCCCAAACACUUUUUUGUGUUUUAAUAAUUUGAAGCAUCUUUUAACACAAGCCUAACACCUAACAAACAAUUUGUACUUAAAAAAAACAACACUUUUAACAUAGGCCAGGCCCUGUUGUUACCUCAUAUUCUAGCGGUAAUCCCUUGGUAAGAAAACACUUACAUUUGCUCAACUUGCCAUUGGCUGAAUUUAUGAUGACUUCUUCGUAAAUAUUUACUGAAAUGAUACAUUUUGUGUUUCCUAGAAACGAGGUUGGCUCAACUUACCCAUUUGCCUCAACUUACUCACUCUCCUCUACUGCUCUGUGGUGUUUCCAAGUGAGACAUCAUACACAAACCAGAAACAAUGGAAGGUGUGACCUCAAUCUAUGAGCCUAGCUACAUUAGCUUUGUAGCAAUGAAGUAUUAUCUCUAUCCUGUAGGAGGCAGUGUGCUACGGACAGCUUGUGGACAAAACUGGUGCUUGCUGGCUGUAACAGCAACUCCAUGUGGAAGUUGCCUGGGUUCCAGUGGAGAUGCUGUUACCUGCAGAGAGUUACCCCCAUCCAGCUCUGACAUAAAAAUCAAUGUGAAGAAUAUCCCUGUCCUGUCCUGUUAAUGGCCAUUUCAUUCCAGUUAUGAUGUUUCUCCCCUUUUGGUUGAACUCACUUACAUUUGCUCUACCCACAUUGUGAUGCGUUUUGUAAUGAGAUUCAUUGUUAAGAACAGUCUCUUGAUCAUUCGACAGAUUGCAGCUCCUUGUUCUCUAUAACAACAUCAGGUGAAGUUAUUUAUGCACUCCAAACGUUGGUUAGAAUGCAGAGUCAGGCUAAAAGAAGAAUGGGACGCAUGGUGAUGACCUAUGAAUUGACAGCCAGUGUUUGCAACACGACUGCCUGUCAGUUAUGUAGGCCACUGCCGUGUCUGUCCUACUGAGCACACACAGGUUAAGAUAGAGAAAAUUAGCUCAUUGAUAUGUUUGAUAAAUUAUCAGGAAACUAUUAUGUAUUUAUGAGACCACUGAUAAUAUCCUGUAUAGUAUACAUUUGUAAGUUAUUUGAAGCCAAUACGUUUUUGUUUGUUGCAAACCUUGGAAAUAAAUAUUGAAAACAUCACUCUCUAAUUAUUGAAAUAAUAUGAUACCUGUUAUAAGUGCGUGACUGUUAGUGGGGAAAAAUCAACUAAAAAUUCAAGGAUUUUACACAGGGUGUCUAGUCUGGUAGAAGCUUAGUAUUUAUUGAGUGCUACCACAGGGUGGAGGUGUUUCAACAUAUCUGCC
This is a long non-coding RNA of Oncorhynchus tshawytscha (Chinook salmon), 1709 nucleotides long. The record is from Ensembl. Lineage: Eukaryota; Metazoa; Chordata; Actinopteri; Salmoniformes; Salmonidae.